GCCGUUCAUGUGGCUUGCAGUAAUGUUUUUCGCAUCAAGAUCUAAAGUUUCUCUUGAACACGCACUGUAUGUAUAUGCGUGCUUUCUUACGUCUUCAGCAUUGCCAUGGGUUGUGGUAAAUAUGUCCGUUGAUGGAGAAUACUGCGUUCUUAGCAUCGGUUUUAUCGUUACCAGUGGAGCGCAAAAUAAGCGAACAUAAGGAUUCAACAGCGUUUUCUUUUCCGAUCCAUCUGAGUCUACUCUCUAUUUUCGGCUAUAGUAGUACCGAUAACAAGGAAUGACACCACUGAGGUUGCUGCGUGGAUGUCAAAACCUCACACAUGCAUUCGGAGCAACAUAACGCAGCAGUCAACCAGCAACAGUUUCAAAGGGUAUAAUUGUCAGCGCAGCAUUGGCCGUGCAAGGCACUUGGAGCACAGCUCUUGACAGAUGAUCACAGGUUGAGACUAUGGCCGGGACAAGUAUGCGAUACUUUAUGCGAUCACCGACGAUAUGGACAGAUUUUCUGAGGAGAUACGAACGUGAAAUCCGGUGUUGAUAUUCUGUGCAGCUCAAUCUACAUUUCAGAACUAUUUUGCAAUAGCUUGUGUUUCUAACUGUUUCUUGAAGCAGGCAUAGAUCUACAAAAGAAAAAUUCAAUGAGUUUGAUAGCAGUGGUGAUCGCUUCAUUGUAUUCACAUCAAGAGGCUCUUGAGCAGUUCAGUCAGAAGCUCUAAUUGUUUUCGCAGAAGCUCUUGAUCGCGUGAGGGAAGACGGAUUAAUCAUGGGUACGGAAUAUUUUCGUCUUUUCUCCGAGAGCAAUCGACCAGUCUUUGGUCAGUGUUGCUUGGAGCGAUGCGGAAGACCUGUCCCAGCUGAACCGUAUUUUCUGCUUCAAUGAUGAGCUCUUCAAUAAAUUUUACUGGUAGGGUUUCGGUUCUCA
Selaginella moellendorffii is the source of this 922-nucleotide long non-coding RNA. RefSeq lists it as uncharacterized. The record is from RefSeq and is a predicted model, not a curated record. The transcript is spliced from 6 exons. NCBI's taxonomy places the organism in Eukaryota, Viridiplantae, Streptophyta, Lycopodiopsida, Selaginellales, Selaginellaceae.